RNAcentral lists this ribosomal RNA (407 nucleotides) under uncultured bacterium. RNAcentral's name for it is "partial 16S ribosomal RNA". It matches the Rfam family "Bacterial small subunit ribosomal RNA", at positions 29 to 526 of the family's 1533-position model. The record is from RNAcentral.
AUUGAACGCUGGCGGCAGGCCUAACACAUGCAAGUCGAGCGGAGCGGCGGACGGGUGAGUAAUGCCUAGGAAUCUGCCCGGUAGUGGGGGAUAACGUCCGGAAACGGGCGCUAAUACCGAAUACUAUCAGAUGAGCCUAGGUCGGAUUGUCUAGGUGGUGGGGUAAAGGCCUACAAAGGCGACGAUCCGUAACUGGUCGGAGAGGAGGAUCAGUCAAACUGGAACGGGGACACGGUCAAGACUCCUACGGGAGGAAGCAGUGGGGAUUAUUGGAAAAUGGGCGAAAUCCUGAUCCAGCAAGGCGGCGUGUGUGAAGAAGGUCUUCGGAUUGUAAAGUACUUUAAGUUGGGAGGCGGUACCAACAGAAUAAGCACCGGCUAACUUCGUGCCAGCAGCCGCGGUAAUAC